AAAGAGAAGCAAUUAGACAUACUGCUCUUCAGAGUCAAGUUCAUAUAUGAUGGAUUGUGAAAUAACUCAGGGCAGAGAGGGAGCCAACAAUCUUCCCUCUGCGUAAUAAAGCUGAUGAAAGUAUUUCACAAGAAACAGAGUCAAAGUUAUGUCAAGGGGAGGAACAACAUCUCUUUGCAGAUCAAAAAGAGCAAAGCCAACUCUUCAGUUCACCCAGGGCAUCUAGCCACUGUCUGGAGAAGAAGCUCUAGAGCUUCUGCCUCCUCAUACAUGAGACUAGAUCCUGAAGGACAAGCAAACACAGGGGUGGUCCCUCGCCCAUUCAUCACUGACAUUCAGUGACGAAGGCUGUGAAAUUUUUAAGACCUGAGACUGAGCUUGGAACUUAAAGAUUUCCAAAUGAGAGGGAAUUCUAAAGGCAGAUGAAAAGUACUAGAAGUGGAAAGGAAUGAAAGAGUAAGAACUCUUAGUAGAGGGAGAUGAGUAGAAAGUUUAGGAUCAAGAGAUGUCUGCAAGGCACCCUCACAUUGCCUGGGAAAUAUCAAGGACAUGGUGAGCUGGUGAAACCAGGGAAGGGAGGAAGAGACUGUUCAAGGCAAUGGCCUGCUGGCGGGAGGAGGAGGUUGCUAAAUUCAGCUUGGAGGAACUCCGCACAUCAAAGAACUGGUUUGCUGAAGCUCCACUCCCAGGCCUUUCUGAAUCACUCAGCAGAGCCAGACACAAUAAGCCUGUUGCUUGAAUUACCCAGCCCAUUUCUCCACUUUCCCCUUUUGCUUUGUCAGCAGGAACCUUACCCAUGUGCAUGUAAGCACUGCUCACAUUUGCAUGCAAGAGCCAUCUGUUUAUUUUGCACAGUCUGGCUGGGACCUUCUCUGAAUAUUUUUCUGGUCAUCUUGAUCUUGAACAACCCUUUAACUACUCCCAUCUCAAGGCUCUUUCUCACAAGACUUUCUGUUCUGGGAUAAUGUGUCCCGGGGCAGAGAUUAGGACUAUGCCAGGGAGAUAAAAAUGUUGCCAGAGCAGUGGUGGGACCGUGCCCAUCCCACCUGCCCUGGCUCUGCUUAUUUACAAGCUCACUACUUGGCCCCACCACCUCCCUCUCCAUGCAUGUUCAUCGCUCAUCAGAAACCAUGACUGAAUGUGGGGGCAUGGGUCAUUCAGCCAAUCAUAGCUGUACAGCUGGAGACUAUUUAUCAACCUUGGAACAAAUUCAUAUCAAACCUGAGGUUAUAUUGAUGAGACAUUUAAAUAUGCAUUUAAUUCAGCUCAAUGACUAAAGAAUUCCAUUAUCUGAAAUUCUGUCUAUUGGUUUGACUGCUGUUUUACAAAGUUAACUGACUCUUUAGUUCAUGUUGAUAUAUCCUGUGAGUAGCUUCUUCUCAAAAGUAGAAUAUUUCCCUGCUCAAGGUCAACGUGUCUUUGGAGCAUUCAGGGAAACUAAGGAAAGGGCCUCAAGACCUUAUGGAAAGAGCAAAUGGGGAGAGGGUUGGCUUAGAAAAAUGGUUCACAUUUUUCAUUUUUGCAUAUUGCGCUUGUAAUCACAGAGUCUAAGAAUACUGACAUGUGAUGAGGAGGGGGAUUUCAUGCACAAAGCAGGAAUAAAAGUAGCUAAAAUUUCACACUGGAGUAAUUACAAUAUCACCUUCUUUUCCAAUAUUAUUCCAUCAUUGGCAUUCAAUCAAAUAAAUCCCUCAGUAAAAGCCACUUCGACCAAUACUGUAUAAGAAAAGAAGCCUGACCUUCUAAUAAUUUUCAGAUGGUCUCACAUAAUUCAUAACAAUUGAACACUUAUUAAGUAUAGGUAUUGUAUUAAGGACUUUGAAAAUGUUAUCUUGUUCAAUUAAUCAUUACUUCCUUUCAUCUACUAACUUUAGGCUUUUUCUGUUUCUAGUUCCUAUAAAUUUAAAGUUUGGUGCUUUGUUUGAAAUUUUUCUCAUUUUUUGAGAUAAGCCUAUAUUACUCUCAGCUUCCAUCUUAGAACAGCUUUUGCUGUAUCCCAUAGAUUUUAAAAUGUUACAUUUCCAGUUUCAUUUUUCUCAACAUGUAUUUUACUUCCCCUUUGAUUCCUUCAUUAACCCAUUGGUUUUAGUACCAUGUUGUUUAGUCUUCACCACGCGUGUCUUUUCCAGUUUUCUUCUUGUUGAUUUCUAUUUUUAUAUCAUUGCAGCUAGAAAAGCUGCUUGAUAUGCCUUUAUUAUUUGUUUAUCUUUUCCAACGAUAUGUUUACAUUCACAUAUUUUCUUAGUAUUGAUUAAUCAGUGCCUUUUCUUUGUGACUUAGAGAAGUCUGUUUAACAUUUCUUGUAGGAUUGAUAAUGAACUCCUUUAUUGUUAUUCAGUUGCUAAGCUGUGUCCAACUCUUUGCAACCUCAUGGACUGCAGCACACCAGGCUUCCUUGUCUUUCACUAUCUCCCAGAGUGUGCUCAAAUUCAUGUCCAUUGACUCAAUGAUGUCAUCCAACUAUUUCAUCCUCUUCUCUUUUGCCUUCAGUCUUUCCCAGCAUCAGGGUCUUUUCCAAUGAGCCAGCUCUUCGCAUGAGGUGGCCAAAGUAUUGAAACUUCAGCUUCAGCAUCAGUCCUUCCAAUGAAUAUUCAGGACUGAUUUCCUUUAGGAUGGACUGGUUGGAUCUCCAUGCUGUCCAAGGGACUCUCAAGAGUCUUCUCCAACACCACAGUUCAAAAGCAUCAAUUCUUCAGUGCUCAGCUUUCCUUAUUGUCCAACUCUCACAUCCAUAUACGACUACUGGA
Molecule: long non-coding RNA, 2747 nt
Filed under: Ovis aries (sheep)
Lineage: Eukaryota; Metazoa; Chordata; Mammalia; Artiodactyla; Bovidae
Description: lncRNA (ENSOARG00000025436.1)
Source: RNAcentral